Molecule: ribosomal RNA, 497 nt
Filed under: uncultured bacterium
Lineage: Bacteria
Description: partial 16S ribosomal RNA
Rfam family: Bacterial small subunit ribosomal RNA
Source: RNAcentral
GAUGAACGCUGGCGGCGUGCCUAAUACAUGCAAGUCGAGCGAACAGACGAGGAGCUUGCUCCUCUGACGUUAGCGGCGGACGGGUGAGUAACACGUGGAUAACCUACCUAUAAGACUGGGAUAACUUCGGGAAACCGGAGCUAAUACCGGAUAAUAUAUUGAACCGCAUGGUUCAAUAGUGAAAGACGGUUUUGCUGUCACUUAUAGAUGGAUCCGCGCCGCAUUAGCUAGUUGGUAAGGUAACGGCUUACCAAGGCAACGAUGCGUAGCCGACCUGAGAGGGGGAUGGCCAAACGGGGAACUGCGACCGGGCCCAGCCCCAGGGGGGAGGCAGCAGGGGGAAAUUGUGCGGAAGGGGGAAGAGCCGAACGGGAAAACGCGGGGGGAGGGAUAAGGGUCUCAGUAGCAAAAACCUUUUUUAUGGGAAAAAAAAAAAUGUGUAAUCAAAUGUGCACGUCUGGAGGUUACCAAAGAAGAAAGCCAGGGCUAACUAGGUG